UACAGAGGCCCCAAGCGUUAUCCGGAAUCACUGGGCGUAAAGGGUGUGUAGGUUGUUUUAUUAGUCUUUUGUGAAAGCACCGGGCUCAACCCGGGACACGCAAAAGAAACGGUAAGACUAGAGGAUGUGAGAGGUGUGCGGAACUCAUGGUGUAGGGGUGAAAUCCGUUGAUAUCAUGGGGAACACCAAAUGCGAAGGCAGCACACUGGCACACUCCUGACACUGAAACACGAAAGCGUAGGUAGCGAAUGGG
Molecule: ribosomal RNA, 253 nt
Filed under: uncultured prokaryote
Description: partial 16S ribosomal RNA
Rfam family: Bacterial small subunit ribosomal RNA
Source: RNAcentral